UUAUGAUAACAACGAAAGCACUACGCCCAUGGUCGAGAAUUAUAUUCUCGGCGGCGUGCACUGUUGGCUUCGCAGUGCACAGUGACGUUGCUCGAUGAUCUAUGUUGGAAGCCAUACUUGUUGCUUCGUAACUUGUUGAGCUCAAAACAUGGUGAGCCGGGUAACGAUGAGGCAUUGCUGUGGAGGAUGAACCUGUUGCUGUGGUGGACNAAUUGAUGCUGUGGAGAGCGACRAAGGUGCUGCGUUGGUUGAUGAAAAUCUUCCAACGACUUGGUAUUGUAGGUCUCGCAAUGCCAUAUGUCUAGUUGCUUGAUGAUCUAUGUUGGAAGCUUUACACGUUGCUUUUGCGACUUGUUGUGCCUAAAACAUGGUGAAUUGGGUGACNAANAGACCUUGAUGCANAGGAGCACGACGAGGACGUUGCUGCGGAGGAGGAUGAAGAUGAUGCUGCGUUGGUUGAUGAAAGUCUACCAACGACGUGGUAUUGUGGUCCUCGCAAUGCCAUAUGUCACGUUGCUCUGAACGUCCCGGUUUGAAGCUGUACUUGUUUGUUGUGCUUCGUUUCGGUGAUCUCGUGCAACGAUGAGGCAUGUUGGUUUGAUGAAAGUCUUCCAACGACGUGGUAUUGUGUGCCUCGCAAUGCCAUAUGUCACGUUGCUCUGAACGUCUCGGUUUGAAGCUGUACUUGUUUGUUGUGCUUCAAUUCGGUGAUCUCGUGCAACGACGAGGCAUGUUGGUUUGAUGAAAGUCUUCCAACGACGUGGUAUUGUGGGCCUCGCAAUGCCAUAUGUCACGUUGCUCUGAACGUCUCGGUUUGAAGCUGUACUUGUUUGUUGUGCUUCAAUUCGGUGAUCUCGUGCAACGACGAGGCAUGUUGGUUUGAUGAAAGUCUUCCAACGACGUGGUAUUGUGGGCCUCGCAAUGCCAUAUGUCACGUUGCUCUGAACGUCCCAGUUUGAAGCUGUACUUGUUUGUUGUGCUUCAAUUUGAUGAUCUCGUGCAACGACGAGGCAUGUUGGUUUGAUGAAAGUCUUCCAACGACGUGGUAUUGUGGGCCUCGCAAUGCCAUAUGUACUGUUGCUCUGAAUGAUCCGGUUUGAAGCUGUACUUGUUUGUUGUGCUUCAUUUUGGUGAACUCGUGCAAUGACGAGGCAUGGUCGCUUACUUCUGUGUGAUAUUCUUCUCGUAUCGUUCGGUGCAUUUUGGGGACAUUUCAGUAUUUGGUUGUUUCCUUGGCUUUUAGCUAGGGUGGUGACUAAAUGUUCGUCUCGNNNNNNNNNNNNNNNNCGUAAAGGGUGCAUGAGUGGUAUUUGGUUUGUUACGGGUGGUUGGCUCUUGCUUGCGCAACAACUUCCACCCGGCUUACCUCUUCAGUUGCUUGCCAAUGCUUGUAAAGUAUUGGUUGGAUUGUGGGUUUCAUGUGUUGCCUACCGAAUUGAUGGUAUUGUAUUYUUAAAGAAUUCCGUUUUUUCAUCUUGCAUCGCAAAUGCGUUGUGUGAUGAACCUUGAAGCAUUCUUUAUGAACCACUCUUUUACUGCUUAGGUGUUAAUCGUGUGGCUCAUUUUGAGUUGCUUGGUAUCCUGGAUAUGGAACCCGAUGGGGGCAUGGGAUGUUUAUAUAUCCCUUGGUUGCCCUG
This 1637-nucleotide unclassified non-coding RNA is filed under the name Pentatrichia petrosa. RNAcentral describes it as "partial external transcribed spacer". The record is from RNAcentral. Lineage: Eukaryota; Viridiplantae; Streptophyta; Magnoliopsida; Asterales; Asteraceae.